UACGGAGGGUGCGAGCGUUGUCCGGAAUCACUGGGCGUAAAGGGCGCGUAGGCGGCGCGGGUAGUCAUCGGUGAAAGUUCAGGGCUCAACUCUGAAUCGGCCGGUGAUACUCCCGUGCUCGAGCACUGUAGAGGCAGGUGGAAUUCCGGGUGUAGCGGUGGAAUGCGUAGAGAUCCGGAAGAACACCAGUGGCGAAGGCGGUGAGCUGGGCAGUUGCUGACACUGAUGCGCGACAGCGUGGGGAGCAAACAGG
This 253-nucleotide ribosomal RNA is filed under the name uncultured bacterium. RNAcentral's name for it is "partial 16S ribosomal RNA". It matches the Rfam family "Bacterial small subunit ribosomal RNA", at positions 524 to 776 of the family's 1533-position model. The record is from RNAcentral.